This 468-nucleotide ribosomal RNA is filed under the name uncultured bacterium. RNAcentral's name for it is "partial 16S ribosomal RNA". It matches the Rfam family "Bacterial small subunit ribosomal RNA", at positions 28 to 507 of the family's 1533-position model. The record is from RNAcentral.
GACGAACGCUGGCGGCGUGCUUAACACAUGCAAGUCGAACGGAAAGGCCCUGCUUUUGUGGGGUGCUCGAGUGGCGAACGGGUGAGUAACACGUGAGUAACCUGCCCUUGACUUUGGGAUAACUCCAGGAAACUGGGGCUAAUACCGGAUAGGAGCUUCUGCUGCAUGGUGGGGGUUGGAAAGUUUCGGCGGUUGGGGAUGGACUCGCGGCUUAUCAGCUUGUUGGUGGGGUAGUGGCUUACCAAGGCUUUGAAGGGUAGCCGGCCUGAGAGGGUGACCGGCCACAUUGGGACUGAGAUACGGCCCAGACUCCUACGGGAGGCAGCAGUGGGGAAUAUUGCACAAUGGGCGGAAGCCUGAUGCAGCGACGCCGCGUGCGGGAUGACGGCCUUCGGGUUGUAAACCGCUUUCGCCUGUGACGAAGCGUGAGUGACGGUAAUGGGUAAAGAAGCACCGGCUAACUACGUG